UUUCAACUUUCAACAAGGGCUUCCUGAAUAAGUUUCUCUGUCAAAGUUUUUGAGAGUCCCAUCACGCAAUCAGCGGUUCCUACCUGAAAAACUCAUUCAGUGAGGAGGGCAUAUGGAACCGUUUACAAGCACAAACAAGAGUUGAGUUAACGCUGUUAACUCCUUCCGUGAAGGCAUCAUUAAGUUCUCGGGGCACGUUAUAAUUCGGCAUCAGAAUUGGGCAACUUAUGCUGGCAAAACCUCCGCCCAACCUAAAUUUUUUUAUUUUUGGCACCCUUUUUGGAAUGACACUUUUUUAUUGAUAUAUUUACGAGACUCUUGGACUACUUUUCUUUUC
This is a long non-coding RNA of Salvia miltiorrhiza (redroot sage), 337 nucleotides long. RefSeq lists it as uncharacterized. NCBI's taxonomy places the organism in Eukaryota, Viridiplantae, Streptophyta, Magnoliopsida, Lamiales, Lamiaceae. The transcript has 2 exons. The record is from RefSeq and is a predicted model, not a curated record.